UACAGAGGUGCCGAGCGUUAGGCGGAAUCACUGGGCUUAAAGCGUGUGUAGGCGGCUGCCUAAGUCCCUUGUGAAAUCCCACAGCUCAACUGUGGAACUGCUUGGUAUACUGGGUGUCUUGAGCCACUUAGGGGUUACCGGAACAAAUGGUGGAGCGGUGAAAUGCGUAGAUAUCGUGUGGAACGCCAAUGGUGAAAACAGGUAGCUGGGGCUGUGCUGACACUGAGACACGAAAGCCAGGGGAGCAAACGGG
RNAcentral lists this ribosomal RNA (253 nucleotides) under uncultured bacterium. Its description in RNAcentral is "partial 16S ribosomal RNA". It matches the Rfam family "Bacterial small subunit ribosomal RNA", at positions 524 to 776 of the family's 1533-position model. The record is from RNAcentral.